UACAUAGGGGGCAAGCGUUGUCCGGAAUUAUUGGGUGUAAAGGGUGCGUAGACGGAUGGACAAGUUGGUUGUGAAAUCCCUCGGCUUAACUGAGGAACUGCAACCAAAACUAUUCACCUUGAGUGUCGGAGGGGAAAGUAGAAUUCCUAGUGUAGCGGUGAAAUGCGUAGAUAUUAGGAGGAACACCAGUGGCGAAGGCGACUUUCUGGACGAUAACUGACGUUCAUGCACGAAAGUGUGGGGAGCAAAC
Molecule: ribosomal RNA, 250 nt
Filed under: uncultured prokaryote
Description: partial 16S ribosomal RNA
Rfam family: Bacterial small subunit ribosomal RNA
Source: RNAcentral